This 253-nucleotide ribosomal RNA is filed under the name uncultured bacterium. RNAcentral describes it as "partial 16S ribosomal RNA". It matches the Rfam family "Bacterial small subunit ribosomal RNA", at positions 524 to 776 of the family's 1533-position model. The record is from RNAcentral.
UACGUAGGGUGCGAGCGUUAAUCGGAAUUACUGGGCGUAAAGGGUGCGUAGGCGGUCCUAUAAGUCAGUUGUGAAAUACGGCAGCUUAACUGUCGAGGUGCAAUUGAUACUGCAGGACUUGAGUACAGACGAGGUAGGCGGAAUUGACGGUGUAGCGGUGAAAUGCUUAGAUAUCGUCAAGAACACCGAUAGCGAAGGCAGCUUACUAGACUGUAACUGACGCUGAUGCACGAAAGUGUGGGGAUCAAACAGG